GUCGAGCGGUAAGGCCCUUCGGGGUACACGAGCGGCGAACGGGUGAGUAACACGUGGGUGAUCUGCCCUGCACUUCGGGAUAAGCCUGGGAAACUGGGUCUAAUACCGGAUAUGACCUUCGGCUGCAUGGCUGAGGGUGGAAAGGUUUACUGGUGCAGGAUGGGCCCGCGGCCUAUCAGCUUGUUGGUGGGGUAAUGGCCUACCAAGGCGACGACGGGUAGCCGACCUGAGAGGGUGACCGGCCACACUGGGACUGAGACACGGCCCAGACUCCUACGGGAGGCAGCAGUGGGGAAUAUUGCACAAUGGGCGAAAGCCUGAUGCAGCGACGCCGCGUGAGGGAUGACGGCCUUCGGGUUGUAAACCUCUUUCAGCAGGGACGAAGCGAAAGUGACGGUACCUGCAGAAGAAGCACCGGCCAACUACGUGCCAGCAGCCGCGGUAAUACGUAGGGUGCAAGCGUUGUCCGGAAUUACUGGGCGUAAAGAGCUCGUAUGCGGUUUGUCGCGUCGUCUGUGAAAACUCGAGGCUCAACCUCGA
This 540-nucleotide ribosomal RNA is filed under the name Rhodococcus wratislaviensis. Its description in RNAcentral is "bacterial SSU rRNA". It matches the Rfam family "Bacterial small subunit ribosomal RNA", at positions 61 to 618 of the family's 1533-position model. Lineage: Bacteria; Bacillati; Actinomycetota; Actinomycetes; Mycobacteriales; Nocardiaceae. The record is from RNAcentral.